AGAUGGCGACCGGCGCACGGGUGAGUAACACGUAUCCAACCUGCCGAUAACUCGGGGAUAGCCUUUCGAAAGAAGGAUUAAUACCCGAUGGCAUAAUAGAACCGCAUGGUUUGAUUAUUAAAGAAUUUCGGUUAUCGAUGGGGAUGCGUUCCAUUAGGCAGUUGGUGGGGUAACGGCCCACCAAACCUUCGAUGGAUAGGGGUUCUGAGAGGAAGGUCCCCCACAUUGGAACUGAGACACGGUCCAA
RNAcentral lists this ribosomal RNA (247 nucleotides) under uncultured bacterium. Its description in RNAcentral is "partial 16S ribosomal RNA". It matches the Rfam family "Bacterial small subunit ribosomal RNA", at positions 86 to 334 of the family's 1533-position model. The record is from RNAcentral.